UUCCUCCCGUGCGCCCUUCCCCUUCUCCCCGUUCGCAGCGCAGCAACCGCCAUCCAUUCCUCUUCUUCUUCCGUUCGCAGCAGCCGUCGGUCGCCGCGUCUCCCCUACUGAAGCUGAGCGCCGCGACCUCCAUUCCGUUCUUCAUCUCCGUUCGCGAAGCAGUCUUGCAGCAGCCGCCGCGUAACCGUUCUUCAUCUCCGUUCGCGAAGCAGCCUUGCAGCAGCCGCCGCGUAACUGUCCGGUCCAGAUCUGCGGCGUCGUUGCUCUUCCGCCGCUGCCCAGCCGUCUCAGCCGGUUCUGUCUCCGUCGAAGCCACGGUUCUGCAACCGUCUCCGCCGGUUCUGUCUUCGUGAAGCCCUGCCGCGCAACCUCUGUUUCGAGCCGCCGCCCAUUCCGUUCUCCUCUGUUUUCUGCACUGCCGCGCGACUCUCCGACCGCGUCAGAUCGUUGAUCGAUUUUGAGGCAGCCGCCACGUCUCCUUUGGCCGACCGCUGACCGACCCACACUUAGGAUUUUUGCUGCGAGUCCGACAGUCGUGCGUUGAGGUGUUGGGAGUAACGUUGGGCUCCCUUAAAUUCACAACCAAUUUGUGAAUUGUUGAGGGUUCAGUUCGCCAAUAUAUCGGAUUGUUUGGAGGACGUUAGUUGAUUAAGGAGCUUCCCCAACUUUGAGAACACUAGACUGAUAUGUACGUCCCUCGA
Long non-coding RNA from Cucumis sativus (cucumber), 701 nucleotides. RefSeq lists it as uncharacterized. The transcript is spliced from 4 exons. The record is from RefSeq and is a predicted model, not a curated record. NCBI's taxonomy places the organism in Eukaryota, Viridiplantae, Streptophyta, Magnoliopsida, Cucurbitales, Cucurbitaceae.